UUUUCUUGGCCCAUCCACUUC
This 21-nucleotide microRNA is filed under the name Arabidopsis thaliana (thale cress). RNAcentral describes it as "ath-miR3440b-5p". The record is from miRBase by way of RNAcentral. Lineage: Eukaryota; Viridiplantae; Streptophyta; Magnoliopsida; Brassicales; Brassicaceae.